RNAcentral lists this ribosomal RNA (520 nucleotides) under Fusarium sp. HS6. RNAcentral's name for it is "eukaryotic LSU rRNA". The stretch from base 167 to 320 matches the Rfam family "5.8S ribosomal RNA". Lineage: Eukaryota; Fungi; Ascomycota; Sordariomycetes; Hypocreales; Nectriaceae. The record is from RNAcentral.
CCUGCGGAGGGAUCAUUACCGAGUUUACAACUCCCAAACCCCUGUGAACAUACCUAUACGUUGCCUCGGCGGAUCAGCCCGCGCCCCGUAAAACGGGACGGCCCGCCCGAGGACCCUAAACUCUGUUUUUAGUGGAACUUCUGAGUAAAACAAACAAAUAAAUCAAAACUUUCAACAACGGACCUCUUGGUUCUGGCAUCGAUGAAGAACGCAGCAAAAUGCGAUAAGUAAUGUGAAUUGCAGAAUUCAGUGAAUCAUCGAAUCUUUGAACGCACAUUGCGCCCGCCAGUAUUCUGGCGGGCAUGCCUGUUCGAGCGUCAUUUCAACCCUCAAGCUCAGCUUGGUGUUGGGACUCGCGGUAACCCGCGUUCCCCAAAUCGAUUGGCGGUCACGUCGAGCUUCCAUAGCGUAGUAAUCAUACGCCUCGUUACUGGUAAUCGUCGCGGCCACGCCGUAAAACCCCAACUUCUGAAUGUUGACCUCGGAUCAGGUAGGAAUACCCGCUGAACUUAAGCAUAUC